AAUUACAGAGACAAUAGUCAUGAUAAUAUAGAUGAAGUUAUAAACAACAUCAAAAGUGAAAAUAAGCUGCUAGAUUUCAUGUUCUUGCUAUAGAAAUCCAAAUCCAAGUCAUUUGUAGAGAAAUUGCUAGUUUUCCUGCGAUGAUGAUGAGGAUGUUGUCCGUUGUUUUUUCAAAGGAGGAAGUGAGUGAUCAAAUGUCUCAGAUGUAGCUAUGUCUCCUAAGUUUCCUUGGACUUCAAUUGCUUUGUCAUGCUCAU
This is a long non-coding RNA of Populus euphratica (Euphrates poplar), 257 nucleotides long. RefSeq lists it as uncharacterized. The transcript is spliced from 3 exons. The record is from RefSeq and is a predicted model, not a curated record. Lineage: Eukaryota; Viridiplantae; Streptophyta; Magnoliopsida; Malpighiales; Salicaceae.